UACCAAGGCCCCUAGCGUAAUUCUGGAAUUAUUGGGCGUAAAGCGCCCGAAGGCGGAUUACGUAAGGUAAUUGGGAGAGCCCGCAGCUCAACUUUGGAUGUGCAAUUCAAACUACUUAGCUAGAGAUUAUCUCAGGAGAGCGGAUGACCUAGAGUAGAGGUGAAAUUCGUAAAUAUUAUGUAAAAAACCAGUUGCGAAGGCGGCUUUCUGCUAAAUAACUGACGCUGAGAUGCGAAAGUAUGGCUCGGGAAUAUCAUGAUAUACCCUCGUAGUCCAUACCGGAUACGAAGAUUGUUACAUGUUGGUAAUUUAUUUCUCGGACCGAAGCGAACGUCGUUGGAUUAACCACCAGGAGGGUACGCCGCGCGGUUGAACUCGAAGGAAUUGACGGCGAGCCGCACAAGCGGGGGAGCGAGUAGGUUAAUUCAAAGCUCCGAGCACAACCAUACCAACAUCGUUGACAUGUCUGUCGCGAAUUGUUUAGAUGGAUACCUUCGCCUCGGCCGAAGAGAACACAGGUGCUGCAUGGCUGUCGUCAGCUCGUGUCGUGAGAUGUUGGGUUAAGUCCCGCGACGAGCGCAACCCCUACUUCUAGUUGCCAUCAGGAUAAGCUGCGCGCUGUAGUAGGACCCCCUGUGAUAAGCAGGAGGAAGGACAGGGACGGCCUCAUGUCCUCAUGCCCCUUUCGCGGUGGGCCACACACGUCCCACAAUCGUAUAUACAACAUGAAUCAAGCCUAAGGGUUCAAUCAAAUCCUUAAAAGAUACCUCAAUUCGGAUAGCGCUUUGCAAUUCGAGUCCAUGAACCAGGAAUUCCUAGUAAUCGCGGUUCAUCAUACCGCGGUGAAUGCGUUCCCGGCUCU
This 862-nucleotide ribosomal RNA is filed under the name uncultured bacterium. RNAcentral's name for it is "SSU rRNA". It matches the Rfam family "Bacterial small subunit ribosomal RNA", at positions 524 to 1381 of the family's 1533-position model. The record is from RNAcentral.